UACGUAGGGUGCGAGCGUUGUCCGGAAUUAUUGGGCGUAAAGGGCUCGUAGGCGGUUUGUCGCGUCGGGAGUGAAAACAUCGGGCUUAACUCGAUGCUUGCUUUCGAUACGGGCAGACUUGAGGUAUGCAGGGGAGAAUGGAAUUCCUGGUGUAGCGGUGAAAUGCGCAGAUAUCAGGAAGAACACCUAUGGCGAAGGCAGCUCUCUGGGACGGUACUGACGCUGAGACGCGAAAGCGUGGGGAGCGAACAGG
This 253-nucleotide ribosomal RNA is filed under the name uncultured bacterium. Its description in RNAcentral is "partial 16S ribosomal RNA". It matches the Rfam family "Bacterial small subunit ribosomal RNA", at positions 524 to 776 of the family's 1533-position model. The record is from RNAcentral.